This 469-nucleotide unclassified non-coding RNA is filed under the name Xylanthemum paleaceum. RNAcentral describes it as "Tanacetum paleaceum partial miscellaneous RNA". The record is from RNAcentral. Lineage: Eukaryota; Viridiplantae; Streptophyta; Magnoliopsida; Asterales; Asteraceae.
UGCUCGGUCUUUGAGCCGAACGGGUGGCUUCAAGUUGGGAUGGCUUCGGGGAUGACGUCCGUAAAGGUGCAUGAGUGGUGUUUGGUUUGUUACGUGUGGUUGGCUGCUGGGAUCCCAUCAACUUCCAUGCUUUCAAACUCUUCAGUUAUGCGGCAAGGCUUGUAUCGCCUUGAGCGUGUUGCGGGUUUACUGUGUUGAAUACCUGAUCAACGGUAUCGGUUGGAUAGAUCAAAGUUUCAUUUCGUCUUGCGUUGCAUUUGCGGCGUGAGGUGAACCGUGAUGCGGUCUCUUUGAUCCACCUUGUUGAAGGAAUGUUUCAACAUUGUGGCACAUUGAGCAUUGCUUGGUCUCUUGUAUACGGAACAUAUAGUGGGCAUGGAUCUAACGAUUCUUGUUUGCCCUCUUAUUAGCGUUCUCGCUUCUCUAAAACGACUUGUGCUACGUGUUGGCUUGUCCAUUCGUAGUGCUA